GAAACUUUUGGCAAUGGAACAUAUGCUCAGGCACAACCCUGUGUGGCGGGGAAGAGCUGUUCUGGUCCAGAUUGUAAACCCUGCAAGAUGUAGAGGAAUUGAUUUAGGGGAUAUAUGUAUGGAAAUACAAGAAAGUUGCAGGAGGAUCAAUAAUAAAUUUCGGCAGCCUGGAUAUGAACCAAUAGUUUUCAUUGACAGGCCAACCAUCAGUGAAAGAAUUGCCUAUUACAGCAUUGCUGAGUGUGUUGUUGUUACAGCUGUGAGGGAUGGGAUGAACCUUACUCCUUACGAAUACAUUGUGUGCAGGCAGGGAUUAUCUGGUUCUGAAUCAUGUACCAAUUUCAGUGGAUCAAAGAAGAGCAUGUUAGUGAUGUCAGAGUUUAUUGGCUGUUCUCCAUCGUUAAGUGGGGCAAUUCGUGUCAACCCUUGGAAUAUUGAAGCAACUGCGGAGGCAAUGAUUCAGGCUAUUUCAGCUUCUGACACUGAAAAACAGCUGCGGCAUGAGAAGCAUUGUCGGUAUGUUAGCACACAUGAUGUGGCUUAUUGGUCACAAAUUUUCUUGCAAGACUUGGAAAGAAAUUGUGCUGAUAAUUUCAGGAAAAAGUGUUGGGGAGUUGGUAUUGGCUUUGGGUUCAGAAUACUGGCACUUGAUCCUAAUUUCAGAAAGCUUUCAGUAGCUAUCAUUGUUUCAGCUUACAAAAGGGCUAAGAGUAGGGC
Molecule: unclassified non-coding RNA, 717 nt
Filed under: Hevea brasiliensis (rubber tree)
Lineage: Eukaryota; Viridiplantae; Streptophyta; Magnoliopsida; Malpighiales; Euphorbiaceae
Source: RNAcentral